RNAcentral lists this ribosomal RNA (583 nucleotides) under Cylindrocarpon sp. 866. RNAcentral's name for it is "eukaryotic LSU rRNA". The stretch from base 205 to 358 matches the Rfam family "5.8S ribosomal RNA". Lineage: Eukaryota; Fungi; Ascomycota; Sordariomycetes; Hypocreales; Nectriaceae. The record is from RNAcentral.
CUUGGUCAUUUAGAGGAAGUAAAAGUCGUAACAAGGUCUCCGUUGGUGAACCAGCGGAGGGAUCAUUACCGAGUUUACAACUCCCAAACCCCUGUGAACAUACCAUAUUGUUGCCUCGGCGGUGCCUGUUUCGGCAGCCCGCCAGAGGACCCAAACCCUAGAUUACAUUAAAGUAUCUUCUGAGUCAAUGAUUAAAUCAAUCAAAACUUUCAACAACGGAUCUCUUGGUUCUGGCAUCGAUGAAGAACGCAGCGAAAUGCGAUAAGUAAUGUGAAUUGCAGAAUUCAGUGAAUCAUCGAAUCUUUGAACGCACAUUGCGCCCGCCAGUAUUCUGGCGGGCAUGCCUGUCCGAGCGUCAUUUCAACCCUCAAGCCCCCGGGCUUGGUGUUGGAGAUCGGCGAGCCCUCCGGGGCGCGCCGUCUCCCAAAUAUAGUGGCGGUCCCGCUGUAGCUUCCUCUGCGUAGUAGCACACCUCGCACUGGGAAACAGCGUGGCCACGCCGUGAAACCCCCCACUUCUGAAAGGUUGACCUCGGAUCAGGUAGGAAUACCCGCUGAACUUAAGCAUAUCAAUAAGCGGAGGA